Long non-coding RNA from Maniola jurtina (meadow brown), 141 nucleotides. RefSeq lists it as uncharacterized. The record is from RefSeq and is a predicted model, not a curated record. NCBI's taxonomy places the organism in Eukaryota, Metazoa, Arthropoda, Insecta, Lepidoptera, Nymphalidae. The transcript is spliced from 3 exons.
UAACCUGUUUUUCUCGUGCUGCAGGAUGGGAUGGGAUGAUAUAUUGAACUACUAUUGGAUAACUAGAACGUCCCGUCCCGUCCGUUUUCUAGUUAUCCACUAGUAGUUCAAGAAAUCCUCCCGUCCUGUCCUGUGGACGUC